GUACUGCUGAAGAGUCCCAAACUAGGACGAAACAGAUGUCCAAUAC
This is a non-coding RNA of Trichobilharzia regenti, 46 nucleotides long. NCBI's taxonomy places the organism in Eukaryota, Metazoa, Platyhelminthes, Trematoda, Strigeidida, Schistosomatidae. The record is from Rfam.